RNAcentral lists this ribosomal RNA (253 nucleotides) under uncultured bacterium. Its description in RNAcentral is "partial 16S ribosomal RNA". It matches the Rfam family "Bacterial small subunit ribosomal RNA", at positions 524 to 776 of the family's 1533-position model. The record is from RNAcentral.
CACGUAGGGUGCGAGCGUUGUCCGGAAUUAUUGGGCGUAAAGAGCUCGUAGGCGGUGUGUCGCGUCGGCCGUGAAAACCUGCAGCUUAACUGCGGGCUUGCGGUUGAUACGGGCGGGCUAGAGUUCGGUAGGGGAGACUGGAAUUCCUGGUGUAGCGGUGAAAUGCGCAGAUAUCAGGAGGAACACCGGUGGCGAAGGCGGGUCUCUGGGCCGAUACUGACGCUGAGGAGCGAAAGCGUGGGGAGCGAACAGG